AACUCUUUUCCAUUCUGAGCAAUGAAACACUCAAGUGUUGAAGCUUCAACGCAAAUGUUUCCAAUACUAAACAAAAUCUAAGUAUGUGUCAACAAGACUAUACAAAGGAUAAACAUCAUACAUUCCAACACAUUCAUACAUAAACAUCAUACAUUCCAUUACAUUCAUACAUAAACAUCAUACAUUCCAACACAUUCAUGCAUAAACAUCAUACAUUCCAACACAUCCAUACAUAAGCCAACUGUGCUUUGAAAGGGUUCAACACACUUUGUGUCAUUCGACAUUUGCCACAAUGUACCUCGACACCUUGCCCUUAUUCUCACCAACUAGGUGAUGAAGGAACUCACUUUCAUACCACCAACUAGGUGAUGAAAUGUACAUCCCGUACUCUAAUAUUAUUUGGAAACUUGCCACCCUUAUCACCAAUCAGGUGAAGAAGGAACUCAUCUUCAUGCCACCAACCAGGUGAUGAAAUGUACAACGCGUACUUUCCUUCAUGUCACCAACCAGGUGAUGAAAUGUGAUGAAAGGUGAUUAAGGAAUUCACAUUCGUACCACCAACCAAGUGAUGAAAGCAACCUAUCAUUCAUUCCAUUAACCAGAAGACGAGUGGUACAACUUGUACAUGUGAACUCCUAGCAUUCACAAAUAAUCAAAAACCAUCAAACUUUAUAACUCAACUAGGGGAGCACUUAUGCCUAACAAGAGCUAUAGUCACCAACAAAGUCUUAUUGCAAGCCAACAAUGGCUUCAGUGCAUGAUAUACGAAGAUCAAGCUCUUCAGCCCUUUUGCAUCUGCUUCAGACAUUUCUCCUCUGUAACAAUGCAAACACUACAACUCAUAGAAAGCUUCAAACGCUCUUGAUCAAGACUGUUUGAAGCAAAUUCAAUUUAUAUGGUUCAUCCAAACCUUCGACUACUACAAGAUGUGGCUU
RNAcentral lists this long non-coding RNA (935 nucleotides) under Malus domestica (apple). Its description in RNAcentral is "long non-coding RNA (MDOM_LNC004626)". The record is from RNAcentral. Lineage: Eukaryota; Viridiplantae; Streptophyta; Magnoliopsida; Rosales; Rosaceae.